RNAcentral lists this ribosomal RNA (491 nucleotides) under uncultured bacterium. Its description in RNAcentral is "partial 16S ribosomal RNA". It matches the Rfam family "Bacterial small subunit ribosomal RNA", at positions 29 to 506 of the family's 1533-position model. The record is from RNAcentral.
AGUGAACGCUGGCGGUAGGCCUAACACAUGCAAGUCGAACGGCAGCACAGUAAGAGCUUUCUCUUACGGUUGGCGAGUGGCGGGCGGGUGAGGAAUACAUCGGAAUCUACUUUUUCGUGGGUGAUAACGUAGGGAAACUUACGCUAAUACCGCAUACGACCUACGGGUGAAAUCAGGGGAUCUUCGGACCUUGCCCGAUUGAAUUAGCCGGGGUCGGCUUAGCUAGUGGGAGGGGUAAAGGCCCACCAGGGCGACGAUCCGUAGCUGGUCUGAGAGGAUGAUCACCAACACUGGAAUGGAGAAACGGCCCAGACCCCUACGGGAGGAAGCAGUGGGGAAUAUUGGAAAAUGGGGGAAACCUUGAGCAAGACAGACCGGGUGGGUGAAGAAGGCCUUCGGGCUGUAAAGUCUGUUUGUUGGGAAAAACAAGCAGCAGGUUAAUACCCCGCUGUUCUGACGGUACCAAAAGAAUAAGCACCGGCUAAUUUCGU